RNAcentral lists this ribosomal RNA (1049 nucleotides) under Diodora graeca. RNAcentral describes it as "12S ribosomal RNA". It matches the Rfam family "Bacterial small subunit ribosomal RNA". The record is from RNAcentral. Lineage: Eukaryota; Metazoa; Mollusca; Gastropoda; Lepetellida; Fissurellidae.
UUGUUGCCCAGUUGGGUUUGUUUUCUAAGAGUUUGGUUUUGGCUCGCAUUCUUUGGCUUACACUAUAGUAAAUACAUGGGACUGGAAGGUGGCUAGUGAGGAAGGCUUGGCAGGGUGGGAGCAUUAAAUAUGUCUUGUGUCUGUUGGGCUUGGGUAUUAUCAGUGGGAGAUGAUGCCUGAUAUUAUGUUUUACUAGACUGUGGUUCACCAGUAUUGAAGAUUAAACAAUGAACGUGGGUUUGAUUUAGUAAGUGGUGUGGGUUUUAGGUCCAGCUAAUUCUUGUGCCAGCAGCUGCGGUUAAACAAGGGGGCCAAGUUAAGGUCUGAGCAGUAUAAAAUAGGGUUAAUGGAGUGAUCGUUCGGGUUAGGGCGAGUAGGAUUAGGGACAAAAUGCUAUAAUUCAUAGGGGUUAAAUCCGAAGGCUGGCUAGGGUUUCAAUGUUCCUUUAGUUCUGUGAUGCCUUGAGACUUAUUUGAUAGACCAGGAUUAGAUACCCUGUUAUUUUUAGUGUAAAUGUUGGUUUACUGUCUACUGGAGUACUACGGACAAAUCAACCACUGGGUUGGUGGAGUUUAAAACUCAAAAAACUUGGCGGUGCUUUAGGUCUUUCUAGGGGAGUCUGUUUCUUUAACCGAUACUCCACGUUGUAUCUGACUUUGCUUUGAGUUCUCUGGUUUGUGGACUGGAGAGCGUCAGCCUGUAUACCGUCGAUUGUAGGCUACGCUCAGAGGGGGCAGGAGUUGCCGGAAUGAAAUGUUGGGGUGGCCAGGUUUAAUUGGGUUUUAUCAGGUUGCUUUAUAUUUUCAGGAAAUCAGAUCGAGGUGCAGUUAAUGGUGAAGGGGGGAUGGGCUACAAUAAUGGAUUUAUUUCGGAUUCUUUUUUGAAAAAAAUUGAUGAAGUUGGACUUAGUAGUAAUUAUUGGAUUAGAAGGUUAAGGUGAAUUGAAGCUAGUGAAGUGUGCACAAAUCGCCCGUCGCUCUCGCUGUAAAGUGAGAUAAGUCGUAACAUAGUAGGGGUACCGGAAGGUGUUCCUAGGAGAAUUAUGUUGU